RNAcentral lists this long non-coding RNA (1663 nucleotides) under Zea mays. RNAcentral describes it as "long non-coding RNA (ZMAY_LNC000854)". The record is from RNAcentral. Lineage: Eukaryota; Viridiplantae; Streptophyta; Magnoliopsida; Poales; Poaceae.
CCGAGAAGAAAGCAGAUGCCUUGAGAGAAGCAGCAUUCAACUACCGCGAUCUGAAGAACAUAGAGUCGGAAGCAUCAUCCUUCCAUGAUGACAGGAGAGUGGCCACACCUAUGGCUCUCAAGCGCAUGCAGGCAUUGCAGGACAAGUGAGUAAGAUGACUGAAAUGUAUUUAACAGAAUAAAAAAUGCUGAAUACCUUCUACUUUUAAAUUCUACGGAACGAUACUAAAUCAAGAAAUCAACAUUCACCUAAUUGUGCUUUCCCUUGUUGUAGAAUUGAACAAGGUAUUCAUAACACUGAGCGAGUAAGGGACAGUGCAAGCGGAAGAUAUAAGGACCUUAAGAUACCAUGGGAAUGGAUGCUCGACUCUGGAGUCAUAAGCCAAGUAUGUCUUCCUUUCACAGUAUGUUCUGUCACAACUCGCAAUAAAGGAGAGGCAUUUAGUUUCACAAAAGUGUGGAGUCCAAAUACAAUAAUAGACAUAUGACACAUGGUGCAUGCCCAUCCUACAUUAAACAGCUAAAGAUGGCUUCCUUGAAGCUUGCAAAAGAGUACAUGAACCGCAUUGUGAAGACACUGAAGUCAGAUCCAUUUGCGAAUGAGGAGGAGCUGCUUCUGCAAGGUGUCCGCUUUGCCUUCCGCAUACAUCAGGUAACUUGUUCCGAACCACGAAUUAAUUCGCAACGACACUUGCAGAAACUAAUUAAUUAACUGACUGCACCGAAACAAAUUUGCAGCUUGCUGGUGGCUUUGACGAAGGAUGCAGAAAGGCAUUUCAGGAACUAAAUACUAAUGCAAGCAAGUCAGAGUGAUCCGAGUUCACGUGGGUUCAAAUAAAAGUCGAGAUCACACAUAGAUAAAUAUGACACACAUAGAUUAUCAAGUUUUGCCGAGGUUGGCUCCAAGGGUCUCCACCAAGACUUGAUGAUGGUGCUGCAUCUUCUAAAGUUUAAUUUAUUUGGCAUCAGGUGCUGAUCUCUUGGAUACAAGUUGAGGCUCUGAAAAAUUUCUAAACGAAUCGUACAUAUGAGCAGUCGAGCACAAACCUAAUUCACCAACAUUCUCCCUCGAGAGUUGAGAUCGUUAGGUCUUGGUCGAUCACCAACACAUGCGCGAAGCAUGACACAAAAAAGCCAUAGAAAUGCAGAAUCGGUUCCUGGUCCGUUUGGUUUGCACUUUGCAGAACGGGAUAGUCUGCCGAACCAUCCCAGCCUAUGACGUUGUUUGGUUUGAGACGCUAGCUGUCCGUCAUGAACGAGCACUAGUGACAUGUUAAUCUGAGGAAAGAGUCCAUCCAGACCACCUCAUUCCGAAUUGACUCUCACGCCGGAUUAAGGCCAACCGGCUAACCAAACACACCGUAGAUCACCCACACAAGAACGACGGCAAGACAUAUGUAAAUUAUGCCAUAAGUACCUGGGUCGCGCCGCUGCCCUUCGUGGGUGGAUUCGCUGCAGCGACAACUUGUCGAUCGGGUGCCUAACUGACGUCAUGUCGCCGCGGCGACGCGCAGCCGCCUGUCGCCGCCGUUUACUUCCCCGCAGGUUUCCACGUUCUUCUUCCCAUGGAGACGGGAUCGGGGACGGCUCGCUACCUCAUCUGGGCCCACGAGCCAGCGAGACGCUCCCGCAGCGUCACCGUCGCGCACCAACUUCCCACUUUC